RNAcentral lists this ribosomal RNA (497 nucleotides) under uncultured bacterium. Its description in RNAcentral is "partial 16S ribosomal RNA". It matches the Rfam family "Bacterial small subunit ribosomal RNA", at positions 28 to 507 of the family's 1533-position model. The record is from RNAcentral.
GAUGAACGCUGGCGGCGUGCCUAAUACAUGCAAGUCGAGCGAACAGACGAGGAGCUUGCUCCUCUGACGUUAGCGGCGGACGGGUGAGUAACACGUGGAUAACCUACCUAUCAGACUGGGAUAACUUCGGGAAACCGGAGCUAAUACCGGAUAAUAUAUUGAACCGCAUGGUUCAAUAGUGAAAGACGGUUUUGCUGUCACUUAUAGAUGGAUCCGCGCCGCAUUAGCUAGUUGGUAAGGUAACGGCUUACCAAGGCAACGAUGCGUAGCCGACCUGAGCGGGUGGUCGGCCACCCUGGAACUGAGACACGGUCCAGACUCCUACGGGAGGCAGCAGUAGGGAAUCUUCCGCAAUGGGCGAAAGCCUGACGGAGCAACGCCGCGUGAGUGAUGAAGGUCUUCGGAUCGUAAAACUCUGUUAUUAGGGAAGAACAAAUGUGUAAGUAACUAUGCACGUCUUGACGGUACCUAAUCAGAAAGCCACGGCUAACUACGUG